RNAcentral lists this unclassified non-coding RNA (205 nucleotides) under plant metagenome. RNAcentral's name for it is "partial contains small subunit ribosomal RNA, internal transcribed spacer 1, and 5.8S ribosomal RNA". The record is from RNAcentral.
UCUCCGUAGGUGAACCUGCGGAGGGAUCAUUACUGAGUGAGGGCCUCUGGCCCGACCUCCAACCCUUUGAUGCCCGACUCAGUUGCCUCGGGGGCGACCCGGCCUUCGGGCCCGGGGCCCCCCGUGGUCCACUCAACUCUGCAUCUUUGCGUCUGAGUAAACAUUAAAUGAAACAAAACUUUCAACAACGGAUCUCUUGGUUCUG